RNAcentral lists this ribosomal RNA (761 nucleotides) under uncultured Streptococcus sp. RNAcentral describes it as "bacterial SSU rRNA". It matches the Rfam family "Bacterial small subunit ribosomal RNA", at positions 28 to 776 of the family's 1533-position model. The record is from RNAcentral. Lineage: Bacteria; Bacillati; Bacillota; Bacilli; Lactobacillales; Streptococcaceae.
GAUGAACGCUAGCUACAGGCUUAACACAUGCAAGUCGAGGGGAAACGGCAUUAAGUGCUUGCACUUUUUGGACGUCGACCGGCGCACGGGUGAGUAACGCGUAUCCAACCUUCCCAUGACUAAGGGAUAACCUGCCGAAAGGCAGACUAAUACCUUAUGGUCUUCACUGACGGCAUCAGAUGUGAAGUAAAGAUUUAUCGGUUAUGGAUGGGGAUGCGUCUGAUUAGCUUGUUGGCGGGGUAACGGCCCACCAAGGCAACGAUCAGUAGGGGUUCUGAGAGGAAGGUCCCCCACAUUGGAACUGAGACACGGUCCAGACUCCUACGGGAGGCAGCAGUGAGGAAUAUUGGUCAAUGGUCGGAAGACUGAACCAGCCAUGCCGCGUGCAGGAAGAAUGCCUUAUGGGUUGUAAACUGCUUUUAUAUGGGAAGAAUAAGGCGUACGUGUACGUUGAUGACGGUACCAUAUGAAUAAGCAUCGGCUAAUUCCGUGCCAGCAGCCGCGGUAAUACGGAGGAUGCGAGCGUUAUUCGGAAUCAUUGGGUUUAAAGGGUCUGUAGGCGGGCUAUUAAGUCAGGGGUGAAAGGUUUCAGCUUAACUGAGAAAUUGCCUUUGAUACUGGUAGUCUUGAAUAUCUGUGAAGUUCUUGGAAUGUGUAGUGUAGCGGUGAAAUGCUUAGAUAUUACACAGAACACCGAUUGCGAAGGCAGGGGACUAACAGACAAUUGACGCUGAGAGACGAAAGCGUGGGGAGCGAACAGG